This 450-nucleotide ribosomal RNA is filed under the name uncultured bacterium. RNAcentral describes it as "bacterial SSU rRNA". It matches the Rfam family "Bacterial small subunit ribosomal RNA", at positions 354 to 796 of the family's 1533-position model. The record is from RNAcentral.
GUGGGGAAUAUUGGACAAUGGGCGCAAGCCUGAUCCAGCAAUGCCGCGUGUGUGAAGAAGGCCUUCGGGUUGUAAAGCACUUUUAUCGGGAGCGAAAUACUAUCGGUUAAUAACCGGUGGGGCUGACGGUACCCGAGGAAUAAGCACCGGCUAACUUCGUGCCAGCAGCCGCGGUAAUACGAAGGGUGCAAGCGUUAAUCGGAAUUACUGGGCGUAAAGGGUGCGUAGGCGGUUUGUUAAGUCUGUCGUGAAAUCCCCGGGCUCAACCUGGGAAUGGCGAUGGAUACUGGCAAGCUAGAGUGUGUCAGAGGAUGGUGGAAUUUCCGGUGUAGCGGUGAAAUGCGUAGAGAUCGGAAGGAACAUCAGUGGCGAAGGCGGCCAUCUGGGACAACACUGACGCUGAAGCACGAAAGCGUGGGGAGCAAACAGGAUUAGAUACCCUUGUAGUCC